Non-coding RNA from Onychostoma macrolepis, 434 nucleotides. Lineage: Eukaryota; Metazoa; Chordata; Actinopteri; Cypriniformes; Cyprinidae. The record is from the annotation of a RefSeq genome assembly.
CAGAAACUCAGAGCAUCACAAUCAUCAUAACUCAGAGAACAGAAGAGCAUCAACAGAACUGAUCUGACUUAGUAAACAUGGACAGACACUUGGUUCUGAUAUUAAACAUUAUUUCAGGUGUGAUGGCUGCAGACCAGAUUUGGCCAAAUAAGGAUGCAAAUGUCAUCAGUACAGAAGGAGAGUCUGUGAGACUGAGUUGCUCAUAUGAUACAAGCAGCAGAUAUGUUACACUUUACUGGUACAGACAGUAUCUUAAUGGAGAACCUCAGUAUUUAAUGUGGAAAGAGGCUCGGGAAUAUAGUGAUACUGGGACUCCAGCUGAUCCUCGCUUUCAGGCGGCUACAUCAGAAACAUCCACUGAACUCACUAUUACUGGUGUAACUCUGUCAGAUUCAGCUCUCUAUUAUUGUGCUCUAAGAGUUGGAGCCCAGUGA